UGGGGAAUAUUGCACAAUGGGCGCAAGCCUGAUGCAGCCAUGCCGCGUGUAUGAAGAAGGCCUUCGGGUUGUAAAGUACUUUCAGCGAGGAGGAAGGCAUUGUGGUUAAUAACCACAGUGAUUGACGUUACUCGCAGAAGAAGCACCGGCUAACUCCGUGCCAGCAGCCGCGGUAAUACGGAGGGUGCAAGCAUUAAUCGGAAUUACUGGGCGUAAAGCGCACGCAGGCGGUCUGUCAAGUCGGAUGUGAAAUCCCCGGGCUCAACCUGGGAACUGCAUUCGAAACUGGCAGGCUAGAGUCUUGUAGAAGGGGGUAGAAUUCCAGGUGUAGCGGUGAAAUGCGUAGAGAUCUGGAGGAAUACCGGUGGCGAAGGCGGCCCCCUGGACAAAGACUGACGCUCAGGUGCGAAAGCGUGGGGAGCAAACAGGAUUAGAUACCCUGGUAGUCCACGCCGUAAACGAUGUCGACUUGGAGGUUGUUCCCUUGAGGAGUGGCUUCCGGAGCUAAUGCGUUAAGUCGACCGCCUGGGGAGUACGGCCGCAAGGUUA
RNAcentral lists this ribosomal RNA (549 nucleotides) under uncultured Enterobacter sp. RNAcentral describes it as "bacterial SSU rRNA". It matches the Rfam family "Bacterial small subunit ribosomal RNA", at positions 355 to 896 of the family's 1533-position model. The record is from RNAcentral. Lineage: Bacteria; Pseudomonadati; Pseudomonadota; Gammaproteobacteria; Enterobacterales; Enterobacteriaceae.